RNAcentral lists this ribosomal RNA (253 nucleotides) under uncultured bacterium. RNAcentral describes it as "partial 16S ribosomal RNA". It matches the Rfam family "Bacterial small subunit ribosomal RNA", at positions 524 to 776 of the family's 1533-position model. RNAcentral also lists the same sequence under 1 other name. The record is from RNAcentral.
UACAGGGGGGGCAAGCGUUGUUCGGAAUUACUGGGCGUAAAGGGCUCGUAGGUGGCCAACUAAGUCAGACGUGAAAUCCCUCAGCUUAACUGGGGAACUGCGUCUGAUACUGGAUGGCUUGAGUUUGGGAGAGGGAUGCGGAAUUCCAGGUGUAGCGGUGAAAUGCGUAGAUAUCUGGAGGAACACCGGUGGCGAAGGCGGCAUCCUGGACCAACACUGACACUGAGGAGCGAAAGCCAGGGGAGCAAACGGG